AUGGUGGUUCUCGCCGGCUCGCCCGCCGUCGAUCACAUCCCGCUCCUCAGGUCGCCCGACCCCGGGGACAACUUCUCCGGCAUGCCGGUCGUCGACCUCUCCAGCCCUGGCGCGCCGCGGGCCAUCGCCGACGCGUGCGAGCGCUUCGGCUUCUUCAAGCUCGUCAACCACGGGGUGCCCGCGGACACGAUGGACAGGCUCGAGUCGGAGGCCGUCAGGUUCUUCUCGCUGCCGCAGGCCGACAAGGACCGCUCCGGCCCGGCCUACCCGUUCGGCUACGGCAGCAAGCGCAUCGGGCUCAAUGGCGACAUGGGGUGGCUCGAGUACCUGCUCCUCGCCGUCGACGCCGCGUCGCUCUCCGCCGCCUGCGCCGUCCCGUCCUGCGCGCUCUUCCGGGCGGCGCUGAACGAGUACAUCGCGGCGGUGCGGAAGGUGGCGGUGCGGGUGAUGGAGGCGAUGGCGGAGGGACUGGGCAUUGCGCCCGUCGACGCGCUGAGCGCGAUGGUGACGGCGGAGGGCAGCGACCAGGUGUUCCGGGUGAACCACUACCCGCCGUGCCACGCGCUGCAGGGGCUGGGCUGCAGCGCCACCGGCUUCGGCGAGCACACGGACCCGCAGCUCAUCUCGGUGCUGCGCUCCAACGGCACGUCCGGCCUGCAGAUCGCGCUCCAGAACGGGCAGUGGGUGUCCGUGCCCUCGGACCGCGACGCCUUCUUCGUCAACGUCGGCGACUCGUUGCAGGUGCUGACGAACGGGAGGUUCAAGAGCGUGAAGCACAGGGUGGUGGCCAACAGCCUAAAGUCUAGGGUUUCCAUGAUCUACUUUGGAGGGCCAGCGAUGACACAGAGGAUUGCACCAUUGCCGCAGCUGCUGGGCGCGGGCGAGCAGAGCCUGUACAAGGACUUCACAUGGGGCGAGUACAAGAAGGCUGCCUACAACUCCAGGCUCGGGGACAACAGGCUGGCUCACUUCCACAGGUAG
RNAcentral lists this ribosomal RNA (981 nucleotides) under Triticum aestivum (bread wheat). Its description in RNAcentral is "partial small subunit ribosomal RNA". Lineage: Eukaryota; Viridiplantae; Streptophyta; Magnoliopsida; Poales; Poaceae. The record is from RNAcentral.